ACUCCUACGGGAGGCAGCAGUGGGGAAUAUUGCACAAUGGGGGAAGCCCUGAUGCAGCCAUGCCGCGUGUGUGAAGAAGGCCUUCGGGUUGUAAAGCACUUUCAGUAGGGAGGAAGGUAGUGUAGUUAACACCUGCACUAUUUGACGUUACCUACAGAAGAAGCACCGGCUAACUCCGUGCCAGCAGCCGCGGUAAGUACGGAGGGUGCGAGCGUUAAUCGGAAUUACUGGGCGUAAAGCGCAUGCAGGCGGCCUGUUAAGUCAGAUGUGAAAGCCCGGGGUCUUAACCUCGGAAUUGCAUUUGAAACUGGCAGGCUAGAGUCUUGGUAGAGGGGGUUAGAAUUUCAGGUGUAGCGGUGAAAUGCGUAGAGAUCUGAAGGAAUACCGAGUGGCGAAGGCGGUCCCUUGGACAAGACUGACGCUCAGAUGCGAAAGCGUGGGAGCAAACGAGGAUUAGAUACCCCGUGGUAGCGACUGA
This 478-nucleotide ribosomal RNA is filed under the name uncultured bacterium. RNAcentral's name for it is "bacterial SSU rRNA". It matches the Rfam family "Bacterial small subunit ribosomal RNA", at positions 335 to 803 of the family's 1533-position model. The record is from RNAcentral.